AGACCCUGAGGGGGUCGAGUUUUCUUCUCCUUGGAUCUGGGUGGGUGGGCGGCAGAUGAAAAGUGUCCCCAUCUCCAGCCAAUCCCAGGGAAGACCAGAGGGCACUCAUCCAAUGGGAGCCGAGAAGCCGACCGUAGCGGUGGAGGCCCGGGAGCUUACCAGCGCUCCAGCUAGCAGCUAGGGGCAGCGUCCCGAGUGUUCUCGAGAUUCUGCUGCAGACUUUCCGUGUUGUUUCGUGUGCAGGCUCAGCCGAGCUGCGGGAGGCCGGAGAUAUCCCUAUCGAAGCGGUCCGUGGGUGGCGGAGUAUCAUUUGCGUAGCAAAGGGAAGGCGAGCGCUCCGGAAGCCCCCACACGGGCCACCAGAUUAUUCCCUAGAGACUCUGGCAGACCAUACCCGGGUGUUGUCUGCCAUCUUCUCUGUCCACUCUGUGACUAUUGAUUGGCGAUUAAUUCACUGAAAUUCAAGGAACAAACCUGUCAAAUACUGUGAUGACUCUUCAAGUUGGGGACAUGCCUCUGUUAAGAGGCAAGGCUGCUUCCAGGAGUUCAUUCACAUUCUCAGAGACAUCCAAGGAAGGAACUGACCAGCACAAGACUUCUGGUGGAAACUACGAAUGGUUUUGGAAUCCAUCAUCACAGCAAGCAUUUCUUUAUUAAAAUUUAUUUUAAAUUAGCAUA
Molecule: long non-coding RNA, 678 nt
Organism: Jaculus jaculus (lesser Egyptian jerboa)
Lineage: Eukaryota; Metazoa; Chordata; Mammalia; Rodentia; Dipodidae
Exons: 5
Source: RefSeq, a predicted model, not a curated record